RNAcentral lists this ribosomal RNA (472 nucleotides) under uncultured Paraglomus. RNAcentral's name for it is "bacterial SSU rRNA". It matches the Rfam family "Eukaryotic small subunit ribosomal RNA", at positions 569 to 1042 of the family's 1831-position model. The record is from RNAcentral. Lineage: Eukaryota; Fungi; Glomeromycota; Glomeromycetes; Paraglomerales; Paraglomeraceae.
AGCAGCCGCGGUAAUUCCAGCUCCAAUAGCGUAUAUUAAAGUUGUUGCAGUUAAAAAGCUCGUAGUUGAACUUCAGGCCUGUCCAGAUGGUCCGCCUUAAUUGGUGUGUACUGUCCUUGGGUGGGUCCUACCUUCUGGCGAAGCGGCAUGGCCUUAAUUGGUUGUGUUGGGGAACCAGGACUUUUACUGUGAAAAAAUUAGAGUGUUCAAAGCAGGCAAAUAUGCUCGAAUACAUUAGCAUGGAAUAAUGGAAUAGGACGAUGGUUCUAUUUUGUUGGUUCUAGGACCGUUGUAAUGAUUAAUAGGGAUAGUUGGGGGCAUUAGUAUUCAAUUGUCAGAGGUGAAAUUCUUGGAUUUAUUGAAGACUAACUACUGCGAAAGCAUUUGCCAAGGAUGUUCUCAUUAAUCAAGAACGAAAGUUAGGGGAUCGAAGACGAUCAGAUACCGUCGUAGUCUUAACCAUAAACUAUGC